RNAcentral lists this ribosomal RNA (139 nucleotides) under Candidatus Methylomirabilota bacterium. RNAcentral's name for it is "partial 16S ribosomal RNA". It matches the Rfam family "Bacterial small subunit ribosomal RNA", at positions 1 to 137 of the family's 1533-position model. Lineage: Bacteria; Methylomirabilota (SeqCode). The record is from RNAcentral.
UUCUCGGAGAGUUUGAUCCUGGCUCAGAACGAACGCUGGCGGCGUGCCUAACACAUGCAAGUCGAGCGAGAAAGUCCCUGCAAGGGGAUGAGUACAGCGGCGAACGGGUGAGUAACACGUGGGCAACCUACCCCUCAGU